RNAcentral lists this ribosomal RNA (497 nucleotides) under uncultured bacterium. RNAcentral's name for it is "partial 16S ribosomal RNA". It matches the Rfam family "Bacterial small subunit ribosomal RNA", at positions 28 to 507 of the family's 1533-position model. The record is from RNAcentral.
GAUGAACGCUGGCGGCGUGCCUAAUACAUGCAAGUCGAGCGAACAGACGAGGAGGUUGCUCCUCUGACGUUAGCGGCGGACGGGUGAGUAACACGUGGAUAACCGACCUAUAAGACUGGGAGAACUUCGGGAAACCGGAGCUAAUACCGGAUAAUAUAUUGAACCGCAUGGUUCAAUAGUGAAAGACGGUUUUGCGGUCACUUAUAGAUGGAUCCGCGCCGCAUUAGCUAGUUGGUAAGGUAACGGCUUACCAAGGCAACGAUGCGUAGCCGACCUGAGAGGGUGAUCGGCCACACUGGAACUGAGACACGGUCCAGACUCCUACGGGAGGCAGCAGCAGGGAAUCUUACGCAAUGGGCGAAAGCCUGACGGAGCAACGCCGCGUGAGUGAUGAAGGUCUUCGGAUCGUAAAACUCUGUUAUUAGGGAAGAACAAAUGUGUAAGUAACUAUGCACGUCUUGACGGUACCUAAUCAGAAAGCCACGGCUAACUACGUG